Molecule: ribosomal RNA, 253 nt
Filed under: uncultured bacterium
Lineage: Bacteria
Description: partial 16S ribosomal RNA
Rfam family: Bacterial small subunit ribosomal RNA
Source: RNAcentral
UACGAAGGGUGCAAACGUUGCUCGGAAUUAUUGGGCGUAAAGCGCACGUAGGCGGCAUUGCAAGUCGGAUGUGAAAUCUUAUGGCUUAACCAUAAAAGUGCAUCCGAAACUGCAGUGCUUGAGUACUUAAGAGGAUCGCGGAAUUCCCGGUGUAGAGGUGAAAUUCGUAGAUAUCGGGAAGAACACCCGUGGCUAAGGCGGCUCUCUAGUACGGUACUGACGCUGAGACGCGAAAGCGUGGGGAGCGAACAGG